CCAGGAUUGGCUGCCCCCUCAUAACCAUAAGAUAAUUAAAACGGGGGGGGGGGAGGAGUUUUUAAAAAACUUUUUUUUUUUUUAUCAUCCAGAGGUUAAUGCAAGUGUUUAACAGAUGCUUCACUAUUAAAAUAUUUUCCCCCCAACUCGCAAAUAUUGAAGAAUCUUAAACCAGGGACAUCAACCCCAACGGAGACUUCGGACGAUUUCAGUGUGCGGGCACCUCGAUUCCCCGAAUGUUUGGUGUGGCCGGGAUAUGUGUGUCCCUGGUUUAACUAGCCUGUUUGAAGGCACAGUUCAUUCUUAGGAAAGUACAACUGAAACCAGUCUUCCCCAUCCUCCUGGAGGUCUUCACUUUCCCGGUCUACAUCAGCUUGUGACUUCGGAAAGAAACUUCACAGGGGCCAAGUUGUCUGAAGACCGGCCAGCCUCACAGCGAUGGGUACCAGCUCGACCAAGUGUACCUUUCCCGCGCCACCGAUCCAGGGGCAUCUCCUGUCGCCAACUCCUCCAUCCAGCCUUGGUCCCUCGAGCCCCGCAGAACUGCGGCUUGGCGGCCAUCGUCGGGGCUCGGGCCUCGAAGGGCGCAGGGCGCUGGGCAGCGGGGCGCGCGACGGCGGGGCAGCAGCACAGGAAUGCUGGGGGGACGAGGCGCGGCCAGAGCCACCACCCCGAUUUAAACCGCGCUCCCCCGCCCCUGGCAUCCUGGUUCAAUUCCCACUUUGAUCUCCAACCCUCUGUGGAUUCCCAGCAACCCAGAGCCAAUUCUGGGCCGCUCCAGCGGGGCGAGGUCGUUGCUCCAGGAAGGUUGGACCCUCAGUCUCCCCCGAGCGAGCGUCUGUGGGGAUUUUUCUUCGCUCGAGGAGGGCAGGAAGGGGUUAAACGCGCCUCUCUCCCACCCUUAUUUUCAAGCCCCUGGCGCUGGGCGAAGGCCACCGUUUCCCUCGUGGGAUCUCAUUAGGGAAACCCUCACCGCUAUUUUCAACAUUUCCUCAAUCAAGUGUCUUUAAAUAGAGCUGCACAAACAAAUUGGCGGCAAGAGCGUAGCUCUUGUCACGAUGGAGACCAAUCCAAUAUUUCAGUCUUGUUUGCUUUGCAAUUACGGGUUGGCUUGUGGCUGCGGUGCCACCGGGGCAGAUCUGCAACGGUCCGCCUGCUGCUCUGCACCCGGGGCGGUGCGGGAAGCGACCGGCGGAGCCCUGCGGCAGAGGGGUGGGGGGUGGGGGGUGGCCCGGGAGAGGUGGCGCCGGGGCCGGCGCGGGAGAGGAGGCCUUUCUUUCCCAAGCUUCACGCCAGGGCCGCGCAGGGCGGUGCCGAGGGAGACAGACUUCAGGUUCCAGAGCGAGCCACUGAGGUUCACAGGAUAAUAAAGAGCAUGAUUCACAUUUGGAAAA
This is a long non-coding RNA of Heterocephalus glaber (naked mole-rat), 1394 nucleotides long. RefSeq lists it as uncharacterized. The record is from RefSeq and is a predicted model, not a curated record. NCBI's taxonomy places the organism in Eukaryota, Metazoa, Chordata, Mammalia, Rodentia, Bathyergidae.